UACAGAGGGGGCAAGCGUUAUUCGGAAUUAUUGGGCGUAAAGAGCUCGUAGGCGGUCUGUCGCGUCGGCUGUGAAAACCCGGGGCUCAACCCCGGGCCUGCAGUCGAUACGGGCAGACUAGAGUGCGGUAGGGGAGACUGGAAUUCCUGGUGUAGCGGUGAAAUGCGCAGAUAUCAGGAGGAACACCGGUGGCGAAGGCGGGUCUCUGGGCCGUAACUGACGCUGAGGAGCGAAAGCGUGGGGAGCGAACAGG
RNAcentral lists this ribosomal RNA (253 nucleotides) under uncultured bacterium. Its description in RNAcentral is "partial 16S ribosomal RNA". It matches the Rfam family "Bacterial small subunit ribosomal RNA", at positions 524 to 776 of the family's 1533-position model. The record is from RNAcentral.